Molecule: long non-coding RNA, 344 nt
Organism: Neogale vison (American mink)
Lineage: Eukaryota; Metazoa; Chordata; Mammalia; Carnivora; Mustelidae
Exons: 2
Source: RefSeq, a predicted model, not a curated record
GUGUUGUAAUUCAGUGCCAGAAGGACUCACAAGACUCCGAAUCUACCAUACGAAAAUAAGGAGGAUAUGUAUAAAAAUAUAACUGUCAAGAUGAAUCACCAGAGCACUGUCUCUAGCAGACACACCAGGCGCUGCUCACAUGAAACCGUUGUGCCUCAUGGUACAUCCACGAAAUGGAAUGCUCGGCAGCUAUUAAAAAUGUCACAAGAGAACAUUUAUUGACAUGAAGAGGUGAUGGGACAAUUGGUAUGUGUGCCAGGUAGUCAGACAACAUACAGUAAUGAUUCCAUUUCUGUAAAAAAUAUAUAUGCAUAUAUGGCAAAAAAAAAAAAAAAAAAAAGACU